RNAcentral lists this ribosomal RNA (305 nucleotides) under uncultured bacterium. Its description in RNAcentral is "bacterial SSU rRNA". It matches the Rfam family "Bacterial small subunit ribosomal RNA", at positions 337 to 658 of the family's 1533-position model. The record is from RNAcentral.
ACCUACGGGGCGGCAGCAGUGGGGAAUAUUGCACAAUGGGCGAAAGCCUGAUGCAGCGACGCCGCGUGAAGGAUGAAGUAUUUCGGUAUGUAAACUUCUAUCAGCAGGGAAGAAAAUGACGGUACCUGACUAAGAAGCCCCGGCUAACUACGUGCCAGCAGCCGCGGUAAUACGUAGGGGGCAAGCGUUAUCCGGAUUUACUGGGUGCAAAGGGAGCGUAGACGGCAGUGCAAGUCUGAAGUGAAAGGCAAGGGCUCAACCCUUGGACUGCUUUGGAAACUGUGCUGCUCGAGUGUCGGAGAGGC